GACGAACGCUGGCGGUGUGCUUAAUACAUGCAAGUCGAACGGAAAGGCCCUUUCGGGGGUCCACGAGUGGUGACCGGGUGCGUAACACGUGAGUAACCUUCACUCAUCUCUGGGAUAACAGUCGGUUACGGUUGCUAAUGCUGGAAAUGAGCUUGCAAGGCAUCUUCUGGGUUGGAAAGAUUAUUUUGGUUGUGGAUGGACUCGUGGCCUAUCAGCUUGUUGGUGAGGUAGUGGCUCACCUAGGCUUCGACGGGUAGCAGGCCUGUGAGGCCGACCGGCCGCAUUGGGUCUGAGGGGCGGCCCAAGCUGCGACGGUAGGCAGAAGUGGGGAAGAUUGCACGAGGGACGGAAGUCGGAUGCAGCAAGUCCGCGGGCGGGAUGACGGCCUUCGGGUGGAAAACCGAUUUCAAUUGUGACGAAGCUUGUUGUGACGGUAGCAGUAGAAGAAGCACCGGCUAACUACGUG
Molecule: ribosomal RNA, 466 nt
Filed under: uncultured bacterium
Lineage: Bacteria
Description: partial 16S ribosomal RNA
Rfam family: Bacterial small subunit ribosomal RNA
Source: RNAcentral